UUAUUGGGCGUAAAGGGCUCGUAGGCGGUUUGGAAAGCCUGGUGUUAAAUACCCCGGCCUAACUGGGGAGGAGCGCUGGGAACUAUCAGACUAGAGUUCAGGAAGGGAAGCUGGAAUUCCAGGUGUAGGGGUGAAAUCUGUAGAUAUCUGGAAGAACACCGGUGGCGUAGGCGAGCUUCUGGCCAUGAACUGACGCUGAGGAGCGAAAGCGUGGGGAGCGAACAGGAUUAGAUACCCUGGUAGUCCACGCUGUAAACGAUGUGCACUAGGUGUAGGGACAUGGAGUUUCUGUGCCGUAGCUAACGCGUUAAGUGCACCGCCUGGGGAGUAUGCUCGCAAGGGUGAAACUCAAAGGAAUUGACGGGGCCCGCACAAGCGGUGGAGCAUGUGGUUUAAUUCGAUGAUACGCGAGGAACCUUACCAGGGUUUGACAUGUGCGUGGAUGUCUCAGAGAUGAGCAGCCUCUUUUGAGCGCCACACAGGUGCUUCAUGGCUGUCGUCA
Molecule: ribosomal RNA, 502 nt
Filed under: uncultured spirochete MT49
Lineage: Bacteria; Pseudomonadati; Spirochaetota; Spirochaetia; Spirochaetales
Description: bacterial SSU rRNA
Rfam family: Bacterial small subunit ribosomal RNA
Source: RNAcentral